AUGACCAUCGAUGACCGAUGGAAUAAAAUUAAACAAAUUAAAACUUGUUUUUGUUGCUUAAAGAGAGGCCACCAACUUAAAAAUUGCCACAAUAAGCGUCGUUGUGGCAUAAAUGAUUGCCAAAAAUCACACCACCAAUUGUUGCACAAAACACUCGCGACGCCAUCCCAGGAACCGAACCGAACAUUACCCACACACGAUUUGGAGCCACGAACGAACACCCCAUCUCUUCCCGACGCACCGCCGUCUCAAACACAACGAAGAAAUUGUCAUGCCGCCCACUACACCGAAAACGUACUGUUCCAGAUUUUGCCCGUGACGCUAUACGGAACACACAAACAAAUAACGACGUACGCGUUCAUUGACGACGGCGCCAAUGUGUCCAUGCUGGACGAGGACGUUGCUCGCGAACUCGGAGUACACGGGAAACCGGAGAUUUUAAAAAUUCAGUGGCUUAAUAACCAAAACAUAAACGAAAAAACAGAAAAAAUUAAUUUGACAAUUAGUGGUGUCGGUGAGUACAACAACAAGUACCCGAUAACCAAUGUUUACAUUUCGUCCAAUCUGUCAUUGCCAAUACAGAGUUGCCAGCUGGCUCAUUUAAUUAAAUCCCGUGAAAUCGACCAAAUCGCCGAAAUCCCAUUCCGGGAUUAUUCGAAUGUUCAACCUAAACUAAUAUUAAGCUUGCAACAUUCAUUUUUAACAGUUCCCUUGGAAGCUCCUCGUAUGAUGACCGAUGUUGGACCAAUCAUUACCCUAACGAGAUUAGGUGCCGUAAUUUAUGGACCGAUCCCAGGCGAGAAGAGUUCCAAUCUUAAGCGGGCUUUACACGUUAGGAAACGUUUCGAGGAAGAAAAUUGUGACUUGCUUAAGGAAAUGCAUACCAUGAUGCGGCAAUAUUUCGACGUGGAGACAUUGGGUACCAAGGUAAAUGUGACACCAAUUCUGUCCAUAGAUGAUGAACGAGCGUUAAAAAUAUUGAGAGAAAACACGAAAAGAAUCGAUGGGCGAUAUCAGUGUCCGCUUUUGUGGAAAGAACAUUUUUCUCCAAUUCCAGAAUCGUACAAUUUGUCGUACAACCGAUUGCAGUGUGUGGAACGAAAAAUGGCAAAGGACAGUGUAUAUGCAGCUCAAUAUUGCAAAAAGAUAAGAGACUACGAGGAAAAAGGAUAUUGCCGUAAACUUUCAGUAGCAGAACGAGAAAGAAGGAGCGACCGAACGUUUUAUUUGCCACAUUUUGGCGUUAAAAAUCCCAACAAAGAUGGAAUUCGUAUCGUCUUCGAUGCUGCUGCUGAAGUUCAACAAUUUUCAUUAAAUAAAGCCUUAUUACCUGGACCUGACAUAAAUAACUCUUUAAUCUCUAUUCUUUUUAAAUUCAGGGAAUUUCCUGUAGCCGUGUGCGGAGAUAUACAAGAGAUGUUCCACCAAAUUGUAAUCGCCAAAGAAGAUCAGGACAGUCAGCGAUUUCUAUGGAGAAAUGGGGAUCCCAGUCAACCCUUAGAAACUUAUGUAAUGGAACGGAUGAUUUUUGGAGCCACUUGUUCGCCCACCAUAGCCCAAUAUGUAAAAAACCUAAAUGCCCGAAGGUUUAUAAAUGAGUCGCCAAGAGCAGUACAAGGAAUCAUCGAUCGUCAUUACGUAGACGAUUACGUCGACUGUUUCCAGACUGAAGGUGAGGCAGUUGAAGUGGUACGUGAUGUCAUAAAAAUUCACAAAGAGGGUGGAUUUAAUCUCCGCAACAUCAAGUCUAAUUCCCUUGUUUUACAACGUAUGUUUGGCAACCCUAUUUCUGAUGAAAGUGAUGGCAACUCCAUUUUUGAUGAUGGAAUGGAACGGGUACUCGGUAUUCAUUGGCUGCCAAAAUCAGAUGUAUUUUGUUUUGAAUUAAAAUUACACAAAGUGGAUGAAAAGAUAUUGAAAUUGCAAAAAGUGCCAACGAAACGCGAAAUGUUGUCUUUAAAUAUGUCCGUAUUCGAUCCAUUCGGGUUUCUUGGUGAUUUUAUGGUGACGUCGAAGAUAAUUAUGCAAAAUGUGUGGAAAAGUGGUAUAAAGUGGGACGAGGAGUUGCCUUCCGCGAUUUAUAGCCGCUGGAAGACCUGGCUGGAGGAAUUGCCUAAAUUAAAGGAUUUCAAAGUUCCGAGGUGUUACAGUAAUGGAUUUUUUAAUGGUAUAGUAGAUUUGCAUGUGUUUGUGGAUGCCAGUGAAGAUGCAAUGGCUGCUGUGGCAUACUGGCGUAUAGUAACAAAUUGUGGUGUAAGUGUUGUGUUCGUUAUGGGCAAGACGAGCUGUGCCCCAACAAGAUACCAUACUAUACCUAAGCUUGAGUUGCAAGCAGCAGUAAUUGGAGUGCGAAUGAAGGAAAAAAUUUUGGAAAAUCAUUUGAAGAAUAUUAAUAACAUUUAUUUUUGGUCAGAUUCCUCAACAGUGAUAAGUUGGAUCCGUUCAGAACACCGUACAUACAAACAAUAUGUGGCAAAUAGAGUGUCGGAGAUUCUGGAAAGCAGCCGUAUGGAGCAGUGGCGGUGGUGUCCAGGAGCGGAAAACCCAGCUGACGAAGGGACCCGUGCUAAAGGACCCAAGAAGUACCAGCCAGAAGGACGUUGGAAAAAUGGGCCAGAAUUCCUGAGAAAAGAAGAGAAGUAUUGGCCGGACGAGGAACAAAUUGGAACAUGUGUGGAUCACAGCAAAACAGAGCUAAGAAACAAAUACAAAGUUUUGGUGGCUUGCCAGGUAUGUUUUUGUAUUCCAGAUAUUAAUAGAUUUUCAAAAUAUCGUAGGCUGAAACGGGCAAUGGCGUGGACAUUCCGAUUCGUUGAAAAUAUGAAGAGGAAAUCAGUGGUGCCGGGUGAUUUGACGGUGGAAGAAGAAGCACGGGCAGAAAUGUAUCUCUGUCGCUGCGUACAGCAAGAAGUAUAUGGGGAUGAAAUUCUUGACAUACAGAGAACUGGAUCAGUGUCUGCCAACAGCUCUAUAAAGUCUUUAAAUCCACAAAUUGGAAGUGAUGGUUUGCUUCGGGUAUCUGGAAGAAUAGAAAAUGCUGUUUUUUUGUCCCUGGAUACCAGACGACCAAUAAUUCUAAACAAAGGUCAUCGUUUUACACUUUUGCUGGUGGAAUUUUACCAUUCUCGUUUUUGUCACAUAAAUGUUGCCACUACAAUGAGCGAAAUUCGUCUGCGAUUUUGGAUUCCGUCACUUCGUCAACUUCUAAGAAGCGUUCAGUCCCGAUGUCUUGUCUGCAAGAUUCGUAAGGCCAAACCAAUUCAACCACAAAUGGCCCCGUUACCCUUGGAACGUGUCACACCUUAUGUCAGAGCCUUUACCUACACAGGACUUGACUAUUUUGGUCCUGUAACAGUGUCAAUCCGGAGACAACGAGAAAAGAGGUGGGUGGCACUGUUUACAUGCCUUACAGUUCGCGCUGUCCACUUGGAAAUUGCAACAGACCUGUCGAGUGAUUCCUGCCUAAUGUGUAUUCGGAACUUCAUCAAUCGAAGAGGCGUCCCAGAGAUGAUAAGAAGCGACAAUGGGACGAAUUUCGUUGGCAUAGCAAAGGAGCUGCAAGGUAUAACCAAUUUUUUAGAUACUAAUUCCGUUUCUUCUGGUCUGACAGCUCUUGGAAUAAAAUGGGUCUACAAUACGCCAGUGAAUCCCAGCGAAGGCGGAGUAUGGGAGCGUCUUGUCCAAUCUGUUAAGAAGGCUCUUUACAUCAUGCUAAAGGAGCAAGCCCCAAAACUGGAGACUCUACAAGCGUUCCUGAUUGAAGCGGAGAAUAUGGUCAACAGCAGGCCACUAACACAUUUGCCAGUUACUCCAGAGGACCCAGAUCCAUUGACUCCAAACCACUUUCUGCUUGGAUGUACCAAUUCAACCCAGACUCCAGCACCGUUUGAGCCUAGACUGAUGUGUUUAAGGAAGCAGUGGCGUGUCACCCAAAAUUUGAAGAAUGGCAUGUGGCAUCAGUGGCUUCGGGAAUAUCUUCCAGAAUUAACUCGAAGAACAAAAUGGUGUCUUCCUUCUCGGUCGUUGGAUGUUGGUUGCCUUGUGUUUGUUUGUGAUCCAGAGAUGGCUCGGAGUCAAUGGAGACGUGGACGAGUCAUCGAAGUAUUCAGGGGCAAAGACGGAGUGGCACGAUCAGCCAAGGUGAGAACGAGUGCCGGUGUAUACCACAGACCUGUGUCCAAACUUGCCAUUUUGGACGUGGAAGCGGCUGGAGACGGAGUUGGUGAAGCCUCCCCCUCUGGGUCAGUUCACGGGGGUGGGGAUGUUGGAGAUGGUAACCCUGCAAUUACCAAAGCUAAAAAAGUGUAGCCAAAUUUGAAAUACCACUGUUAUAAAUGGCCGAAAUAUCCCAAGCGAAGAGGGAGACGAAACUAAAUUUAAGCCAACAUCUUCAUUUUGUUUAUUUUUGUUGUUUUGCUUAAUGUCACUUUUUAUAUAAAUAGGCCCUUAUGGCCAUUGUUUAUUCCCUUUUUUGUUAGAACCCAAAAAUAAAGAAUAAACAACGACAACUAAACUCACUAUUUGUAAACAAACAAACCAAAUAAACGCAGCUUUUUAUUUUGCCGAAA
Molecule: RNA transcript, 4568 nt
Organism: Musca domestica (house fly)
Lineage: Eukaryota; Metazoa; Arthropoda; Insecta; Diptera; Muscidae
Exons: 2
Source: RefSeq, a predicted model, not a curated record